This 274-nucleotide ribosomal RNA is filed under the name uncultured bacterium. Its description in RNAcentral is "partial 16S ribosomal RNA". It matches the Rfam family "Bacterial small subunit ribosomal RNA", at positions 523 to 796 of the family's 1533-position model. The record is from RNAcentral.
CUACGGAGGGGGCUAGCGUUGUGCGGAAUUACUGGGCGUAAAGCGUACGUAGGCGGUCUGAUCAGUUGGGGGUGAAAUCCCAGGGCUUAACCCUGGAACUGCCUUCAAUACUGUCAGUCUUGAGAUUGGAAGAGGUGAGUGGAAUUCCUAGUGUAGAGGUGAAAUUCAUAGAUAUUAGGAGGAACACCAGUGGCGAAGGCGGCUCACUGGUCCAAUACUGACGCUGAGGUACGAAAGCGUGGGGAGCAAACAGGAUUAGAAACCCUAGUAGUCC